UGUUGGGGAGGCCCCGUGCCCGGAACAUGGCUGCUGUCUUUAAUUUCCUCAUCCAUUAAAUGGGGGAUAAUGAUACCUCCCUGCUGGGAUGUCACAAGAAAGGGAUGAACUAAUUCUAUAAAGUGCAUGGCACAAUGCCCUGCACACAGCAGGUGCGGAGGGAAGGCAGCUGGGAUCACCUGAGGACCUUUCCAGCUGCGAGAGCCCAGCCCGUGACCCACAGUCACUCCUGACCUUUGAACCCAUGGCCAUGGUGCAAGGAAGUCCUUGGCAGGCCCCGCAAGGAGGCUCUGGCCAAGGCCAAGCCAAGAUUUCUGCUGAUUGAACACCCCACGGGAGUGAAGGGCCUUCGGGAUUCCAGCUUCUGCUCUCAAGUCUUCCAGCUGAGGCCCCAGAUAUGACUGAGGUGCACCUCCACGGUAUUUUGGGAGCCUGUGCUGUUUGCUGGGAUGAAGCAAGGAGUCCUUGGCUUCACCUGGGCGUGAAGGAAGCACCGUGGUAGAGAAGCUGCCAGCCUCAGAGGGCCUGCUUGUGGGUGAGGGCUAGGCCUGGGUGUUUUCAACUGUUUACAGCCUGCUGCUGGCUCAUCAUCCCCAGCUGUUAUGAAAACACCUUUAGUUCAUAAAACAUGGAAAUUGCAUCUGA
Long non-coding RNA from Canis lupus familiaris (dog), 645 nucleotides. RefSeq lists it as uncharacterized. The record is from RefSeq and is a predicted model, not a curated record. The transcript has 3 exons. Lineage: Eukaryota; Metazoa; Chordata; Mammalia; Carnivora; Canidae.